GUUUUGAGCUCAAGUAUAAAAUUAUAUAACUUCCUCUCCUUGUACAAAAUUACUAUUUCCAUCUUCAUCAUCCCACCAUCAUGAGGAGACAAAAUUACAAUUAGUUAAUAGAUGAUAUCAUAAGACAGCUAUAUCUGGGUUUUGAAAAUGAAUUUAUUCAUUAAUUUUUCUAUAUGGCUUAUUAGUUAAUCACUCAGUCGAAAAAUAAAAGAAGGUUUCUUAACUUUUG
This 229-nucleotide unclassified non-coding RNA is filed under the name Hevea brasiliensis (rubber tree). The record is from RNAcentral. Lineage: Eukaryota; Viridiplantae; Streptophyta; Magnoliopsida; Malpighiales; Euphorbiaceae.